This 301-nucleotide ribosomal RNA is filed under the name uncultured bacterium. RNAcentral describes it as "partial 16S ribosomal RNA". It matches the Rfam family "Bacterial small subunit ribosomal RNA", at positions 509 to 807 of the family's 1533-position model. The record is from RNAcentral.
CAGCCGCCGCGGGAAAACGGAGGGUGCAAGCGUUAAUCGGAAUUACUGGGCGUAAAGCGCACGCAGGCGGUCUGUCAAGUCGGAUGUGAAAUCCCCGGGCUCAACCCGGGAACUGCAUUCGAAACUGGCAGGCUAGAGUCUUGUAGAGGGGGGUAGAAUUCCAGGUGUAGCGGUGAAAUGCGUAGAGAUCUGGAGGAAUACCGGUGGCGAAGGCGGCCCCCUGGACAAAGACUGACGCUCAGGUGCGAAAGCGUGGGGAGCAAACAGGAUUAGAUACCCCUGUAGUCCCUGUCUCUUAUAC